Molecule: unclassified non-coding RNA, 335 nt
Filed under: Hevea brasiliensis (rubber tree)
Lineage: Eukaryota; Viridiplantae; Streptophyta; Magnoliopsida; Malpighiales; Euphorbiaceae
Source: RNAcentral
UUUGAGUCAUAAUUCUAACAAUCGCUACCUUUACUCAAAAUCCAUCAACUACUAUAUGUCUUGAAUUCUUGGGUGUCAUCACAUUAUCGAUUCUUCAUGCUUGAGCUUGAACCUUUAAAAUCUCUCAUUCUUCCAAAAAAUAUUCGUGUUAUUAACUAUCUAGAUUUCGCAUCAAGAGUUUCAUCUUAAUUUCAACUCUUCACCUUUACCAUUGUUGCAUGUGUAACUUUCUACAUGUCGCAGCAGCUACCUUCAACCAAACUCACCGAGAUCAUCUCCAUGCUUUGAUACUAAUUUGUUGUAUACCGCGAAAGCGUGUAAACUGCAAAGAAAUA